Molecule: ribosomal RNA, 450 nt
Filed under: uncultured bacterium
Lineage: Bacteria
Description: partial 16S ribosomal RNA
Rfam family: Bacterial small subunit ribosomal RNA
Source: RNAcentral
AGCGAACGCUGGCGGCAUGCCUAACACAUGCAAGUCGCACGGGGGGCUUCGGCCUCCCCGUGGCGGACGGGUGAGGAACGCGUAGGGACCUGUCGAGGGGUGGGGGAUAACCGCGGGAAACUGCGGCUAAUACCGCAUGACGCCGCGGCGUGACAGCCGGGGCCAAAGGCGAAAGCCGCCCGCCGAGGGGCCUGCGUCCGAUUAGCUGGUUGGCGGGGUAGCGGCCCACCAAGGCGUCGAUCGGUAGCUGGUCUGAGAGGGUGAUCAGCCACACCGGGACUGAGACACGGCCCGGACUCCUACGGGAGGCAGCAGUGGGGAAUAUUGGACCAUGGGCGCAAGCCUGAUCCAGCAAUGCCGCGUGGGUGAAGAAGGUCUUCGGAUUGUAAAGCCCUUUCGGCGGGGACGAUGGUGACGGUACCCGCAGAAGAAGCCCCGGCUAACUUCGUG